CCAGACUCCUACGGGAGGCAGCAGUGAGGAAUAUUGGGCAAUGGGGGCAACCCUGACCCAGCCAUGCCGCGUGAGUGAAGAAGGUCUUCGGAUUGUAAAGCUCUUUCGGACGUGACGAUGAUGACGGUAGCGUCUAAAGAAGCACCGGCAAACUUCGUGCCAGCAGCCGCGGUAAUACGAAGGGUGCGAGCGUUGUUCGGAAUUACUGGGCGUAAAGGGAGUGUAGGCGGAUAUGUAAGAUAGCGGUGAAAUGCCGGGGCUCAACCCCGGAACUGCCAUUAUGACUAUGUAUCUAGAGUAAUGGAGAGGAUAGCGGAAUACCCAGUGUAGAGGUGAAAUUCGUAGAUAUUGGGUAGAACACCGGUGGCGAAGGCGGCUAUCUGGCCAUUUACUGACGCUGAGGCUCGAAAGCAUGGGGAUCAAACAGGAUUAGAUACCCCAGUA
Molecule: ribosomal RNA, 444 nt
Filed under: uncultured bacterium
Lineage: Bacteria
Description: bacterial SSU rRNA
Rfam family: Bacterial small subunit ribosomal RNA
Source: RNAcentral